GAGGGUGUAGCUUACAGGUAAAGUGCAUGCUUAGCAUACAUGAAGUCCUGGAUUCAAUCCCCAGUACCUCCA
RNAcentral lists this transfer RNA (72 nucleotides) under Camelus bactrianus (Bactrian camel). It matches the Rfam family "tRNA". From Rfam's summary of the family: Transfer RNA (tRNA) molecules are approximately 80 nucleotides in length. Their secondary structure includes four short double-helical elements and three loops (D, anti-codon, and T loops). The record is from Rfam by way of RNAcentral. Lineage: Eukaryota; Metazoa; Chordata; Mammalia; Artiodactyla; Camelidae. RNAcentral also lists the same sequence under 3 other names.